UUGCUCCGGCAGCACAUAUACUAAAAUUGGAACGAUACAGAGAAGAUUAGCAUGGCCCUUGCGGAAGGAUGACACGCACAUUUGUAAAGUGUUCCAUAAUUUU
This is a non-coding RNA of Erinaceus europaeus (western European hedgehog), 103 nucleotides long. The record is from Rfam. NCBI's taxonomy places the organism in Eukaryota, Metazoa, Chordata, Mammalia, Eulipotyphla, Erinaceidae.